This 440-nucleotide ribosomal RNA is filed under the name uncultured bacterium. Its description in RNAcentral is "partial 16S ribosomal RNA". It matches the Rfam family "Bacterial small subunit ribosomal RNA", at positions 338 to 795 of the family's 1533-position model. The record is from RNAcentral.
CCUACGGGAGGCAGCAGUAGGGAAUAUUGCUCAAUGGGGGAAACCCUGAAGCAGCAACGCCGCGUGAAGGAUGAAGGUUUUCUGAUUGUAAACUCCUUUUGUUAUGGGAGAUAAUGACGGUAUCUAACGAAUAAGCACCGGCUAACUCCGUGCCAGCAGCCGCGGUAAUACGGAGGGUGCAGGCGUUACUCGGAAUCACUGGGCGUAAAGCGCGCGUAGGCGGGAUAGCAAGUCAGAUGUGAAAUCCUAUGGCUUAACCAUAGAACUGCAUUUGAAACUGUUAUUCUAGAGUAUGGGAGAGGUAGGUGGAAUUCGUGGUGUAGGGGUAAAAUCCGUAGAGAUCAAGAGGAAUACUCAUUGCGAAGGCGACCUGCUAGAAUAUAACUGACGCUGAUGCGCGAAAGCGUGGGGAGCAAACAGGAUUAGAUACCCUUGUAGUC